GGGAUUAGCUAGUAGGUGGGGUAACGGCUCACCUAGGCGACGAUCCCUAGCUGGUCUGAGAGGAUGACCAGCCACACUGGAACUGAGACACGGUCCAGACUCCUACGGGAGGCAGCAGUGGGGAAUAUUGCACAAUGGGCGCAAGCCUGAUGCAGCCAUGCCGCGUGUGUGAAGAAGGCCUUCGGGUUGUAAAGCACUUUCAGCGGGGAGGAAGGCGUUAAGGUUAAUAACCUUGGCGAUUGACGUUACCCGCAGAAGAAGCACCGGCUAACUCCGUGCCAGCAGCCGCGGUAAUACGGAGGGUGCAAGCGUUAAUCGGAAUUACUGGGCGUAAAGCGCACGCAGGCGGUCUGUCAAGUCGGAUGUGAAAUCCCCGGGCUCAACCUGGGAACUGCAUUCGAAACUGGCAGGCUAGAGUCUUGUAGAGGGGGGUAGAAUUCCAGGUGUAGCGGUGAAAUGCGUAGAGAUCUGGAGGAAUACCGGUGG
This 486-nucleotide ribosomal RNA is filed under the name Acinetobacter baumannii. Its description in RNAcentral is "bacterial SSU rRNA". It matches the Rfam family "Bacterial small subunit ribosomal RNA", at positions 237 to 715 of the family's 1533-position model. The record is from RNAcentral. Lineage: Bacteria; Pseudomonadati; Pseudomonadota; Gammaproteobacteria; Moraxellales; Moraxellaceae.